RNAcentral lists this ribosomal RNA (460 nucleotides) under uncultured bacterium. Its description in RNAcentral is "partial 16S ribosomal RNA". It matches the Rfam family "Bacterial small subunit ribosomal RNA", at positions 338 to 795 of the family's 1533-position model. The record is from RNAcentral.
CCUACGGGAGGCAGCAGUGAGGAAUAUUGGUCAAUGGGCGCUAGCCUGAACCAGCCAAGUAGCGUGAAGGAUGACUGCCCUAUGGGUUGUAAACUUCUUCUAUAUGGGAAUAAAGUGCAGUAUGUAUACUGCUUUGCACGUACCUUAUGAAUAAGGAUCGGCUAACUCUGUGCCAGCAGCCGCGGUAAUACGGAGGAUCCGAGCGUUAUCCGGAUUUAUUGGGUUUAAAGGGAGCGUAGGCGGGUUGUUAAGUCAGUUGUGAAAGUUUGCGGCUCAACCGUAAAAUUGCAGUUGAUACUGGCAUCCUUGAGUACAGUAGAGGUAGGCGGAAUUCGUGGUGUAGCGGUGAAAUGCUUAGAUAUCACGAAGAACUCCGAUUGCGAAGGCAGCCUGCUGGACUGUAACUGACGCUGAUGCUCGAAAGUGUGGGUAGCAAACAGGAUUAGAUACCCGGGUAGUC